CCAUCAACUGCCCCCCACAAUCCACCCUCACCCACACACUGGGACCCCAUUAACCCACCCACCCCGCACUGUGGCACUUUGUGUCUAU
Long non-coding RNA from Amblyraja radiata (thorny skate), 88 nucleotides. RefSeq lists it as uncharacterized. The transcript has 3 exons. The record is from RefSeq and is a predicted model, not a curated record. NCBI's taxonomy places the organism in Eukaryota, Metazoa, Chordata, Chondrichthyes, Rajiformes, Rajidae.